RNAcentral lists this ribosomal RNA (540 nucleotides) under Aspergillus terreus. RNAcentral describes it as "SSU rRNA". It matches the Rfam family "Eukaryotic small subunit ribosomal RNA", at positions 654 to 1198 of the family's 1831-position model. Lineage: Eukaryota; Fungi; Ascomycota; Eurotiomycetes; Eurotiales; Aspergillaceae. The record is from RNAcentral.
GGCCGGUCCGCCUCACCGCGAGUACUGGUCCGGCUGGACCUUUCCUUCUGGGGAAUCCCAUGGCCUUCACUGGCUGUGGGGGGAACCAGGACUUUUACUGUGAAAAAAUUAGAGUGUUCAAAGCAGGCCUUUGCUCGAAUACAUUAGCAUGGAAUAAUAGAAUAGGACGUGCGGUUCUAUUUUGUUGGUUUCUAGGACCGCCGUAAUGAUUAAUAGGGAUAGUCGGGGGCGUCAGUAUUCAGCUGUCAGAGGUGAAAUUCUUGGAUUUGCUGAAGACUAACUACUGCGAAAGCAUUCGCCAAGGAUGUUUUCAUUAAUCAGGGAACGAAAGUUAGGGGAUCGAAGACGAUCAGAUACCGUCGUAGUCUUAACCAUAAACUAUGCCGACUAGGGAUCGGGCGGUGUUUCUAUGAUGACCCGCUCGGCACCUUACGAGAAAUCAAAGUUUUUGGGUUCUGGGGGGAGUAUGGUCGCAAGGCUGAAACUUAAAGAAAUUGACGGAAGGGCACCACAAGGCGUGGAGCCUGCGGCUUAAUUUGA